GCCAGCGUGGCCUCGUGCUUGGAGCGACGGACCUCGACUCUGGAGGUCCGGGUUCGAAUCCUGGCUCAGCCA
This is a non-coding RNA of Phrynosoma platyrhinos (Desert horned lizard), 72 nucleotides long. The record is from the annotation of a GenBank genome assembly. NCBI's taxonomy places the organism in Eukaryota, Metazoa, Chordata, Lepidosauria, Squamata, Phrynosomatidae.